Molecule: unclassified non-coding RNA, 806 nt
Filed under: Centaurea podospermifolia
Lineage: Eukaryota; Viridiplantae; Streptophyta; Magnoliopsida; Asterales; Asteraceae
Description: partial external transcribed spacer
Source: RNAcentral
UACUAGUGUUGGUUUGCUACUUGAUCCUAAGGCCAAGCCCCCUCGCGUGACGACCACGCUGGCUACCGGGCAAAAUGCGCAUCACCUCUUGCUUGUCUAGAUCAGCCCGGACGUUGGCAUGUGUAGCGUAUUUUGUCGGGUUUCGAGAUCAAGAAUCGAUGUCCCUUUGUUGGUUGGUUUUCCGAGAAUCCUUGACCCUUGAUUUGUUACUUUCGCAUCGUUAGGUGCAUGUUUUCCGAGAAUCCUUGACCCUUGAUUUGUUACUUUCGCAUCGUUUGGUGCAUGUUUUCCGAGAAUCCUUGACCCUUGAUUUGUUACUUUCGCAUCGUUCGGUGCAUUCUGGGGGAUGUUUUGGCUUUUGGUGGCUUACUUGGCCUUUUGGCUGGGUUUGUUGCUAUUGGUCGGGCGGCUUUCGGGAAUGUCGACCGUGGAGGUGCAUGAGUGGUGUUUGGUUUGUUACGUGUGGAUGGCUGUUUGCUUGCGCAACAACGUUCACGCUGCAUACCUCUUCAGUUUUGCGGCAAGGCUUGGUUUGGCUUGUGCAUAUUGUGGGUUUCCUGUGUUGCAUACCUAGUUGAAGGAAAAGUGUGGGUUUUACGAUUUUCAUUUUCGUCUUGCGUCGUUCUUUCGGCAUGGGAUGAGCAAUGAAGCGAUCUUUAUGAUCCAUCGUGCUGUUGUGUUUGCAACAAUGAUGUGGCCUAUGAAGCAUCGUUUGGUCUCUUGUAUACGGAAGCUCAUUUGGGCUUGGUCUUUAUAAGAUCUUCGUUAUGCCCUUGUUAAGCGUUCUCGCUUCUCCUAAACGAUUG